GCCUUCCCACGCGGUCUCUGGGCUGGUUGAGCUGCGCCGCUGCAGGUAGUGCUGAGUUGCUCCAGUGCCACUGGGUUAGGGUCUCCACAACCGAGCUGGUCUCAGCAAGUGGUGUCCAUACAUGGGGCUCGAACCUGGGUUGAAGGGUCGCCAGAGCGACGGUUGGAGAACGUGGAACUAAGCUGGAGGACACCUGAGUACUCUUAAGCAAUCCCCGUGGGGGAGUUAAUCCUCGAGGAUUGGAACGUAAUUCUCUUUGGCAAAUGGAUGUCACCCACGUUCCCUCGUUUGGGAGACUAGCUUAUGUACAUGUAUGUGUGGACACCUUUUCUCACUUUGUCUGGGCUACAUGCCAAUCAGGAGAGUCUUCUGCCUGAGUUAAACAUCACCUUUUGCAGUGUUUUGUGGUGAUGGGCAUUCCAGCUUCUAUUAAAACAGAUAACGUCCCAGGCUAUACUAGCCAAGCUCUAGCUACAUUUUUCUCUAUAUGGAAUACUAAACACAUUACUGGCAUUCCGUAUAAUUCUCAAGGACAAGCCAUAGUGGAAAGAAUGAAUCCCUCCCUGAAACAGCAGUUGCAAAAGCAAAAAGGGGGAAACAGGGACUAUGGGAUACCCCAUAUGCAAUUGAAUCUAGUAUUAUUGACUUUAAAUUUUUUGAGACUGCCUAAAGGCCAGAUGCUAUCAGCAGCUGAAUAGCAUCUACAGAAACCAGCUGCAAAGACAGAAGCAGAACAACUGGUUUGGUGGAGAGAGCCAAUGAUAAAAAGUUGGGAAAUGGGUAGAAUAAUAACUUGGGGUAGAGGUUAUCCUUGUGUUUCUCCAGGACCAAAUCAACUGCCAAUUUGGAUAUCAUCGAGGCACCUGAAACCUUAUCAUGAGCCUGAUGCUGAGGAAUAGAUUCUGGGAGGAUCCCGAGGAUCCCCUGGUUGCAGCCAUGUUGAGACUGACGCUGAGGGGGACCCCAACUGUCACGAGCAACACCCAUCGAACGCAGCCACCUACCUGGGGACAGAUCAAGAAGCUGUCACAGAUGGCAGAAGAAAACCUAAGGAAAGUGGGACAACCAGUCACAAUGAGUAAUUUAAUGAUAGCUAUGAUAGUGGUGAUCACCAUUGCCAUGAGUAUUCCUUCAACAAGGGCUGGCACAGAGGACAAUUAUACUUAUUGGGCGUAUUUAUCAAUCUUGGCUGGCAAUAAUGCCUGGAUGUAAUCACUCUAUGACACAGUUACACAUGCUUUCUGGUCUCCGUAUUUACCAUAAUAAAUCUGCUCCUGUAAUUGAGGUAUACUGCCCUCAAAAACCUAUUUGUAAACAGAAUUGGACCUGGCUAGAAAUAAUGAAUGUAUUUGUUUGGGAAGAUUGCAUUGCAAAACAGGCAGAGGUGCUGUGCAACAAUUCCCGUGGAAUCAUUAUUGAUUGGUCCCCUAAGGGGAUGUUUAGCUUGAAUUGCACCUGUCAGUCUGUGUGCCACAGCCACACUAUGUUCAGCUGGUCUGAACAAAAUGGUCAAAUGGUAGAAAUGGUAAGAAGUAUGGCAAGAGUUCCUAUUAUUUGAAAACAUGGUGGUAUAGUGGCACCUCAACCUCAAAUGAUAUGGCCCGCUCUAGGAGCUUAACAUAAGGAUUUGUGGAAACUAUUAAUGGCUCUUAAUAAGAUCAAAAUUUGGGAGAGAGUAAAAAAGCAUCUAGAAGGACACUCUACAAACUUGUCUUUGGAUAUUGCAAAAUUAAAAGAACAAAUAUUUAAAGCAUCCCAGGCACACCUGACCUUAAUGCCAGAAAUAGGAGUGCUUGAAGGAGUGUAGACAGAUUAGCAGGUAGUAACCCAUUAAAAUAGAUAAAAACACUUGGAAGCUCUGUGAUUUCAAUGAUGAUGGUGCUUUUAAUCUGUGUUGUUUGUCUUUGUAUAGUCUGCAGCUCCCGACUCCUGCAAGAAGUAGCUCACCAUGAUAAAGCCACCUUUGCAUUUAUCAUCUUGCAAAAACAAAAAGGGGGAACAUGUUGGGAACAGGCCCCCAAAUCUGGCCAUAAACUGGCCCCAAAACUGACCAUAAACAAAAUCUCUGCAGCACUGUGACAUGUUCGUGAUGGCUAUGACACCCACCCUGAAGGUUGUGGGUUUACUGUAAUGAGGGCAAGGAACACCUGGCCCACCCAGGGCAGAAAACUGCUUAAGGCGUUCCUAAGCCACAGACAAUAGCAUGAGUGAUCUAUGCAUUAAGGACAUGUUCCUGCUGCAGAUAACUAGCCCAACCCAUCCUUUUGUUUUGGCCCAUCCCUUUGUUUCCUGUAAGGAAUGCUUUUAGUUAAUCUGUAAUCUAUAGAAACAAUGGUUAUCACUGGCUUGCUGUCAGUAAAUAUGUGGGUUAAACUCUGUUUGGGGCUCUCAGAUCUGAAGGCUGUCAGCCCCCUGGAUUUCCCACUCCACACUCUAUAGUUCUGUGUGUGUGUGUGUGUGUGUGUGUGUGUGUGUGUUUCUUUAAUUCCUCUAGUGCUGCUGGGUUAGGGUCUCCACGACUGAGCUAGUCUCAGCAGUAUAAAAAUCAGAAUAUUAAUUUGGCAACAUUUGGUAAUAUCAAUGCAGAAUAUUUAUCAGAAAUCAAAUGUUAUCACCAAAAAUCUACUCUACUUUGUUAUCCAGGAGAUGCAAUACAAAACCCAUUAAUUAAAACAUUAACAGAUACUAUUAAAAUACUUUGGGAUAAGGUCAGAAAUGCUAAAUGUUACUUAUUAUUUUAGACACAUUACCUGAUGCGAGGCAUAUAGUGCAGAUGAUUAUGGUUAGAGUUGUGAUUUUCUAAACUCAAAUACUUCUAUAUGUGAACAUUUUUGGGAGAUUUUUGUCACAACUGGAGAAAGAUUAUUUUUAAAUUUUAGUAAACUACUUACAAAAACUGAACCAGACAAAAAUAAUUCAAGAAGCUAGAAAUAUGACAACAUGGUGCAAUAGGAAAUCCUUGAAUAAAAAAUAUAUAUAUGUAUAUAUACACCAUAAAAUAUAGAAUGGUAUAUUCUGUAUCAUUCUAUAUUCCUUUUCUAAAGCAUCAUUAUUAUUAUUUGAGAUGAGGGGGAGAUCUAACCAUGUUGCCUGGG
Molecule: long non-coding RNA, 3095 nt
Organism: Homo sapiens (human)
Lineage: Eukaryota; Metazoa; Chordata; Mammalia; Primates; Hominidae
Gene: TMCC1-DT
Product: TMCC1 divergent transcript
Source: Ensembl